GACGAACGCUGGCGGCGUGCUUAACACAUGCAAGUCGAACGGAAAGGCCCUGCUUUUGUGGGGUGCUCGAGUGGCGAACGGGUGAGUCACACGUGAGUAACCUGCCCUUGACUUUGGGAUAACUUCAGGAAACUGGGGCUAAUACCGGAUAGGAGCUCCUGCUGCAUGGUGGGGGUUGGAAAGUUUCGGCGGUUGGGGAUGGACUCGCGGCUUAUCAGCUUGUUGGUGGGGUAGUGGCUUACCAAGGCUUUGACGGGUAGCCGGCCUGAGAGGGUGACCGGCCAAAUGGGGAGUGAGAUACGGCCCAGACUCGUACGGGAGGCAGCAGUGGGGAAUAUGGCACAAUGGGCGGAAGCCUGAUGCAGAAACGCGGCGUGCGGGAUGACGGCCUUCGGGUUGAAAACCGCUUUCGCCUGUGACGAAGCGUGAGGGACGGUAAUGGGUAAAGAAGCACCGGCUAACUACGU
This 467-nucleotide ribosomal RNA is filed under the name uncultured bacterium. RNAcentral's name for it is "partial 16S ribosomal RNA". It matches the Rfam family "Bacterial small subunit ribosomal RNA", at positions 28 to 506 of the family's 1533-position model. The record is from RNAcentral.